UCCAAGUGAGGGUGGCCCAAUUAGGAGAGAGAAGCUCUCGUUUGUUUCCACUGUGAGAAAGAAAGCCAUCUGUUUGAGUUUGUCGCCGGGGGAGGGUGGCUUCACGCCUCCCUCCUCCUGGUAAGUGCUUUUCUCCUAGCCUUUUAGGUUAUGGAGUGAUUUUUGCUCCUCCAUAGUGUGUACCAGUGAAGGCAUGAAGCUUCAAAUCAAGCCGACCAGGUGGGGGAGAGACUGCUCUGUGCAGUGUCAUCGACGGUGGUUCUCUGGCCGGACCUUCACUUUUCUAAUUUUUUGAAGACAGAUCUACGCAUCCUCGUCGAUUUCUGGUAGACACGUGCCGCCCUGCAGCGUUGUUCGUCGUUCUCUGCUCCAGCCGCCGAAAGGUGUGGUCGUGCCGAUCGUCGGAGCAUGGCGCGUGGCUUUCACGCACCAGGAAGCUUUGCUCCCUGGGCCGCGCAUGUGAGUCACGUUCCAAUUUUUCAGGCCAUGUUCGGUGGUUUCUGGGGUUUAGGACGACCGAUCUGCUGUUUGGGGGUUGUCAGUGGCGGCGUGUGUCCCACACGCGCCGUCGUCUGACGAGGACUGCCUCUGCCUCUCUGCUUCCGAUUUGGUUUGGGUGUUUCUGUCUGUUGUGUGUUUAUUCCCUUUGUGUCUCCGGUACAGUCUGCCAUUGUAAUACCCUUGUUUUUAUGAAAAUAUUUGAUGGCUUCUUGCUAGAUCGGCUCCCUUUUAUUUUUGAGAGUGAGCGUUAUUGUAAAAGGAGGCUCAAAUGUUUAUUCUUGUAAGAUUUGUGUUCUGCAUUGACAGCUGUUUUUAAGUCAGAUCCUUCUGACUUAGGGUUCAA
Molecule: long non-coding RNA, 844 nt
Organism: Alnus glutinosa
Lineage: Eukaryota; Viridiplantae; Streptophyta; Magnoliopsida; Fagales; Betulaceae
Exons: 2
Source: RefSeq, a predicted model, not a curated record